RNAcentral lists this ribosomal RNA (253 nucleotides) under uncultured bacterium. RNAcentral describes it as "partial 16S ribosomal RNA". It matches the Rfam family "Bacterial small subunit ribosomal RNA", at positions 524 to 776 of the family's 1533-position model. The record is from RNAcentral.
UACGUAGGGCGCAAGCGUUGUCCGGAAUUAUUGGGCGUAAAGAGCUCGUAGGCGGCUUGUCACGUCGGUUGUGAAAGCCCGGGGCUUAACCCCGGGUCUGCAGUCGAUACGGGCAGGCUAGAGUGUGGUAGGGGAGAUCGGAAUUCCUGGUGUAGCGGUGAAAUGCGCAGAUAUCAGGAGGAACACCGGUGGCGAAGGCGGUUCUCUGGGCAUGAUCUGACGCUGAGGAGCGAAAGUGUGGGGAGCGAACAGG